Molecule: long non-coding RNA, 222 nt
Filed under: Lathyrus oleraceus (garden pea)
Lineage: Eukaryota; Viridiplantae; Streptophyta; Magnoliopsida; Fabales; Fabaceae
Description: Pisum sativum (pea) long non-coding RNA (PSAT_LNC003307)
Source: RNAcentral
AAAUUAAGAAAAAAGGUCUCUCAGAUUCGCUCUCCCUCACUCACUCAUUCCCACCAACCACUCUCUCAUCUCUACACAUUCCAAAAAAAAGAAAAGACAAAAGAAAGACAGCUCUAAAAAAUCUGAAAAAUAAAAAGAGAUUCAUUGUUCUCUCUCUCAUGAAAAUCCCCACACGUCUCCGCCAAUCUCCUUCAACCACCGGCGAAACCCCCUUCUUCUUCA